Molecule: ribosomal RNA, 498 nt
Filed under: uncultured bacterium
Lineage: Bacteria
Description: bacterial SSU rRNA
Rfam family: Bacterial small subunit ribosomal RNA
Source: RNAcentral
GAGUUGAUCAUGGCUCAGGACGAACGCUGGCGGCGUGCUUAACACAUGCAAGUCGAACGAUGACGAUGGUGCUUGCACCGUCUGAUUAGUGGCGAGCGGGUGAGUAACACGUGAGUAACCUGCCCUCCUCUUCGGGAUAACCGCCGGAAACGGUGGCUAAUACCGGAUAUGAAUGCCUGCCGCAUGGUGGGUGUUGGAAAGAUUUAUCGGUGGGGGAUGGACUCGCGGCCUAUCAGUUUGUUGGUGAGGUAAUGGCUCACCAAGGCGAUGACGGGUAGCCGGCCUGAGAGGGCGACCGGCCACACUGGGACUGAGACACGGCCCAGACUCCUACGGGAGGCAGCAGUGGGGAAUAUUGCACAAUGGGCGAAAGCCUGAUGCCAGCGACGCCGCGUGGGGGAUGACGGCCUUCGGGUUGUAAACCUCUUUCAGCAAGGAAGAAGCGAGAGUGACGGUACCUGCAGAAGAAGCGCCGGCUAACUACGUGCCAGCCGCUGC